AAGCAGAUUUGAUUUAGUAGAGAGCAGUCAGCUGGGAUGCCAGCAGCUUUGCCCCUGCAGACUGCAUCAGUUGGCACCGCAGGGGGGACAGUGGUGAUGGCAGGGACAGGCUGCUGACCUGCCUGUGCCUGCAGUCCCUCUGUGCCACUGGCUGCUCUGUGCUUUGAUGUCUGCUUAAAACUCUGCUCAACACUUCAAUGUUUCCUCGGCUGGUGAGUCUCAGGGUGAAACAGUAUCCAUUUCAAAGAAAAGAAGAUUAUUUUUCAUGCUGAGAUUCAAAAUUGCAGUUCAUUUGCUUUCUGGCUACUGGGAAGGAAACUGCACCACCUGAGGUGGCUGACAAGGCAGAACACAUGGCUGAAAAUAUGUCACGUGGUAUCUCCUGGAAAAUGACUGCAUUGCUCGUGAUCCUCGCUUUCAUGGCAAGACAACAAAAUCCCGUAAGAAACCAUUUAUCUCCAAUCGACGUCCCUCUGUGUGGCAGCACAACCAUCUGGUGUAUCACCCACCCCCUCCCAGUUUUGCAAACCUGAGGGCGCUCUCUGUCCCAUCAUCCAGGUCAUUAACAAAGAUGCUAAACAGCACUGGACCCAGAUCCAGGUGUUGGACGCACAGUGCAUUUGAACACAAUCCCAUGAAGGAAGAGCACAUCAGAGUUAAAAAGCAAAUUUUUAUGUGUGCAUUUGGCUGCCAUCUCACCAAUGAGCCCCGCUGCCAUGCUGUUGUCCAUGCUUUUGUCAGCAUGAGCUUGAACUACUGCAAAAGCGCAGCCAGCUGCUUUGAAGCUCUGCAGUAAUACCAGGUGGCACAGUGACUGAAGCUAUCGCCUUCCUGUCUGAGAGAAACAGUCAUGUUACAGCGGCGCCAACAGAGAGGAUCCAACCUGCUGGUUUUAACUCAAAAACUCUUAGAUGCUUUGGGACUUGCUUACAUAAGAGGCCACUGUUUUCCCACUCAUGCACCAAUUUCACUAGCUAGAGCAUUUACAUGUGUUGAUCAUCUAGUAGAAAAGGAGUACCUGCUAGCAGGCAAGUUUCUGUGAAAAAGCCUCAACAGCUGAAUUUGCUUCAGUGUGGGCGCUGUGUGGAUUUGGGUUGCUUCUGGCAAAACUAUCUAUUUAAGAAACAAUUUGGGACAGAGCUGGAUUGAGGAUCUUACUUGAAAGUCCCAGGAGAUUUUUUUACAUGAUUACAUGCUAUAGUAAAAAGAGAUAAGUUUGAUUCCUUGCAUAAAUUAUGACUAUUAAUAACUGAAUUAUAAAUCUAAAUAUUAUUAUAAUGAAUCCUUUAGUACCUAACAAUUAUAGAGUGUUACAAACUCUGAAAUAAACACUAGAAGUCUCUAAAUAAACAACAUAUUUGUGGCCUGAAACUGGCA
This is a long non-coding RNA of Harpia harpyja (harpy eagle), 1377 nucleotides long. RefSeq lists it as uncharacterized. The transcript is spliced from 4 exons. The record is from RefSeq and is a predicted model, not a curated record. Lineage: Eukaryota; Metazoa; Chordata; Aves; Accipitriformes; Accipitridae.